RNAcentral lists this long non-coding RNA (1029 nucleotides) under Salmo salar (Atlantic salmon). RNAcentral's name for it is "lncRNA (ENSSSAG00000085104.1, ENSSSAG00020078748.1)". The stretch from base 485 to 538 matches the Rfam family "UnaL2 LINE 3' element". The record is from RNAcentral. Lineage: Eukaryota; Metazoa; Chordata; Actinopteri; Salmoniformes; Salmonidae.
CACAGGCAGUUUGUCUCACUGUUGGAAGAGACAGAGUCGGGUAAUGCAGAUCUCUCCUACCACACAAACGAGUUUGGGGAAGGUGUUUAAAAGGGUGUGGGACCUGAAGCCGGAGAUUGCUGAGUUUUCGCAAAUGAAAGGAAUACAUGUGGAUUUCCCUUAACUGCAAGAUAAAGAAUGGUUGGCUGAUUUUGCCUUCACCGUGGACAUCAUGGCCCUCAUGAAUGAACUGAAUUCCAAACCACAAGGGAAGGGCCUUUUUGCAUAUCAGAUGCACAACCUUGUCAAAGCCUUCAAGGGAAAAUUACUCCUCCUGACCCACCAAGUAGAAGCCAACAAUGUCACCCACCUUCCGACAAUACUAGUCUGUUCCCUAUCCCUGUGGCUCAGUUGGUAGAGCAUGGUGUGUGCAACGCUAGGGUUGUGGGUUCAAUUCCCACGGGGGGCCAGUACAAUGUUUUUUUUUUUAAAUGCAUGAAAUGUAUGCAUUAACUACUGUAAGUCGCUCUGGAUAAGAGCGUCUGCUAAAUAACUAAAAUGUACAUGUGAAGAUGACCAGCAGGAGAAGUAUACAUCGCUGCUGCAUUGAACGUAUUCUUCCUUACUCUCCGUCCCUCUCACCCUAUAUCUUUCUAUCUCUACCCCCCUCUCCUUCAGCCCCCCUCCAUCUCUCUCUCAUUCUCUCGGCUUUUCCUCCUCUCCAUCUCUGCAGCUGCGAUCCUCCAAGCCCUAUUCCCCGCCACCUCCCCUGUGUGCUGGAACGCCGUCCAACAAUUUAACCGCAGCUCUGAAACAAUCGAACAUCUGUUUGGAGGCCGGCCCAGGCGCUUCCUGCUGAGAGUGCACCAGCCACCGCCGUGUUAACCCCUCGCCUCCUGGCACGGUCAGACAGGCCACAAUCCACCAUGCCAGCACACACUCACACACACUAAGACGCGUACAUGUACAUGCAUAUACACAACACUGGAGUCUCUGCCAUAGGAAAAUUGAGAAAUGCAUACCAGGCCACCACUGUGUGUGUGUGUGAGG